Molecule: ribosomal RNA, 164 nt
Filed under: Euphorbia weberbaueri
Lineage: Eukaryota; Viridiplantae; Streptophyta; Magnoliopsida; Malpighiales; Euphorbiaceae
Also listed under: 1 other name
Description: 5.8S ribosomal RNA
Rfam family: 5.8S ribosomal RNA
About the family: 5.8S ribosomal RNA (5.8S rRNA) is a component of the large subunit of the eukaryotic ribosome. It is transcribed by RNA polymerase I as part of the 45S precursor that also contains 18S and 28S rRNA. Functionally, it is thought that 5.8S rRNA may be involved in ribosome translocation.
Source: RNAcentral
AAAACGACUCUCGGCAACGGAUAUCUCGGCUCUCGCAUCGAUGAAGAACGCAGCGAAAUGCGAUACUUGGUGUGAAUUGCAGGAUCCCGCGAACCAUCGAGUCUUUGAACGCAAGUUGCGCCCAAAGCCUUUUGGCCGAGGGCACGUCUGCCUGGGUGUCACUC